AUUGAACGCUGGCGGAAUGCUUUACACAUGCAAGUCGAACGGCAGCACGGGUGCUUGCACCUGGUGGCGAGUGGCGAACGGGUGAGUAAUGCGUCGGAACGUGCCGAGUAAUGGGGGGAUAACGCAGCGAAAGUUGUGCUAAUACCGCAUACGCCCUGAGGGGGAAAGUGGGGGAUCGCAAGACCUCACGUUAUUCGAGCGGCCGACGUCUGAUUAGCUAGUUGGUGGGGUAAAGGCCUACCAAGGCGACGAUCAGUAGGCGGGUCUGAGAGGAUGAUCCGCCACACGUGGGACUGAGACGACCGGCCCAGACUCCGUACGGGAGGCAGCAGGUGGGGUAAGUUUUGGACAA
RNAcentral lists this ribosomal RNA (352 nucleotides) under uncultured bacterium. RNAcentral's name for it is "bacterial SSU rRNA". It matches the Rfam family "Bacterial small subunit ribosomal RNA", at positions 29 to 371 of the family's 1533-position model. The record is from RNAcentral.